This 206-nucleotide ribosomal RNA is filed under the name Clostridioides difficile. Its description in RNAcentral is "partial 16S ribosomal RNA". It matches the Rfam family "Bacterial small subunit ribosomal RNA", at positions 932 to 1136 of the family's 1533-position model. Lineage: Bacteria; Bacillati; Bacillota; Clostridia; Peptostreptococcales; Peptostreptococcaceae. The record is from RNAcentral.
AGCGGAGCAUGUGGUUUAAUUCGAAGCAACGCGAAGAACCUUACCUAAGCUUGACAUCCCAAUGACAUCUCCUUAAUCGGAGAGUUCCCUUCGGGGACAUUGGGGACAGGUGGUGCAUGGUUGUCGUCAGCUCGUGUCGUGAGAUGUUGGGUUAAGUCCCGCAACGAGCGCAACCCUUGUCUUUAGUUGCCAUCAUUAAGUUGGGC